Long non-coding RNA from Marmota monax (woodchuck), 5262 nucleotides. RefSeq lists it as uncharacterized. Lineage: Eukaryota; Metazoa; Chordata; Mammalia; Rodentia; Sciuridae. The record is from RefSeq and is a predicted model, not a curated record. The transcript has 3 exons.
GUUAGUGGCUUUUGGAUCCGGCACACCUCGCUGCGUUUAUGCUGGGCACCGAAGCCCCGCAGUUGUCUGCUGCUUGGUGAAGUCCUCGCUAGAUCAUUAGCUCCAAAUGAGAGCAGAGAUCUUAUGUGAUGUAUGUGCUGCCGUUAUCUUCCAGAACAGGCCAGAGACACUCUUAGCUGGGUCCACCACCUGAGGGGAUCAUCUUGAAGUAAGGUCCCUGCUCUCAUGGAAAUUGCAUCCUAUUGGGGUUACAACGAAAAUUAAGCAAAACGGCUAUAGUUUUCACGUGUUUUGAAUAAUAGGAUUGCGAGAGACGACUCAGCGGAAACUCGCAUGUUGAGAGUGCAGUCAUGUGAUCAACUGGGCACAGAGUUCACUACACUCUGUGCAUAUAAACUAAGGAGGUGCCUUAUGCUGGGCACUGCGCUAAAGGAGGAAGGCGUGGUUUCUGCUCCCAGGGCACUGGUCUAGUACCCUGCUCGCCAGGUUGAGUGAUUGGUAAACGAACUCUCAGCAUCAAUACCUUUGGGAGUUUUUUGCAAGUGCAAAGUAUCCAGUUUCUCAGAUUGGAUUCCUGUCAAGUGUUUUUACCUUUAUCUAUGCACUUUACUUUCAGAAGGUCUGGUGGUGGAAAUAUUACAAGGCAUAGGUAAACGUAUCACCUUUGGCUUGUGCCUUUUUUGCUCCAAGCCUGCUACUGUCUUUAAUUCUAACAAGCUUGUAAGAUGCACUAUAGAACCUGAAGCCAACUCAAUUUUUGUGCCGUCAGCGGACAACCCUGACCCAGUCCAUACCAUAGAGGCUCACCAGAAGAAAAGAAUAAAGGACAAAAUGCAUAAAAGUACACAGGAACAGAUAAGAGAAGCAAAAUCCUUAGAUGACAGGCAUAUGGAAAAGAAACCAUUUCAGGGCUUUGGACUGAUAGCACUGGGGAGAACAGAAACUUGGUGAAGCCUCUUACAGACCUUCAGGUGGACGAGCAGACCCAGCACAAAACCUACUCCUGCUGUGAACUUCACCUUCCAUUAGAUUUGUGCAUGGCAGUGCCACUCUUCAAGGCCACUGAGCUUAUUUUCUGUGGGCUCUGAGGUCACAUGGCCAUUCCCCUAAAAACUCCUCUGGUUGGAAUUGUGUGGCUGACUCACUAUCUUUCUCCUCCUCAAUACCCAUGAUGCAUUAUGUACAGAGGAUUUGCAAAUGUGAAAAUAUGUGCAGACACCAUGGAGAGCAGUGUGAAGGUUCUUUGGAAGAAUAAAAAUAGAACAACCAUAUGGCCCAGAAAGACCUCUUUUGUGUACAUUUAAAAGAAAUGAAAUCAGCAUGUGGAAGAGAUAUCUGUACUCAUGGGUUUGCUGCAACACCCUUCACAAUAGGAAGGGACAGAAUCCAUCUUAAUUUCCUGUGGGUGAAUGGAUGGAUGGAUAAGCAAAUUGGCAGGUGGCCUGUGGAAUAUUAUUCAACCAAGAAAGUAAGGAGAAGCCAGCACUUUCAGUAACUGGAGUGAUGCUAGAGGACACUGUGCUGAAUUACAUAAGCCAGGCACAGAGAAAUCUGGCACAACCUCACUUACAUGGGCAAUCUAAAAAUGUAAACUUAUAGAGGCUGAGAAUAAAGGGUGGUCAACAGGGGUGAGGGUGAAAAAUAGGUGUUGGUCAAAGCUACAUGGGCACAUGUAUGCCAGGUGAGUGAGACCUAGAGAUCUGCACAUGUAGUUAAGAAUGUGGUCUUUUGCCCUUUAAAACCUGUUCAGAGGACAGCUCUCUGGUUAAGUAUUUUUGCAUUACAAAGCAAAGCUCACAGGGGAGCAUGAGGAAAUGGCAGGAGGACUUGUGGCCCCAGGGUGUUCCAGGUGUGUGUAGUGGCCAGCCCACUGAGGUGCCAUCAGAUAGAAGGAAUUAUUUGUUUUUAUUGUGCCUCCUACUAAGGAAGGGGUCAUGAAGGGGCAGUGAAGGUGGCUUCUCCAGGGGCCAGGAGGCAUCUCUUCCACCUGAGCUCCUAAGUGGACUCAGCUGCUCAGGCUGAACCCUUUCCACCUGCCCGCACCCUCCUCAUUGCCUGCAUCUGUGGGAGAUGUGCUGCAUGUGCACAUAGAUCUUUGGCCAAGGGGCAAGGACUGGGAAUGUAGCCCUGCCCUGCUCUUCAGUCCACAAUGGAAUUUGAAGGAGGGUCCCAGGAUUGGCUGCUGCCCUCCUCUUCUGCUCUGCUUUUCUGCUCUGUUCUACUUGUUUUUAUCAUAAGUAGAUUAGUAACAAAUCCCCUGGUUUUGGGUGUGUGUGUGUGUGUGUGUGUGUGUGUGUGUGUAUGAUAGAAUGGCCUUAGGCCUGAGCCUAAGCAACUCUAUUUUGAAAAACCUGAAGUUUCACCAGGCACACCCACAGGUCCCUCCAGUAUGGCCUCAAACAAUUUCUUUCCCUUACCCUGAUAAAAAGAGUGAAGCCCCUGGCUGGCUGUCCUCACCUGAUAAGAGGGAAAGGCAAGAAGAUCAGGGUGAAGACCCAAAAACCAGAUGUUUCUAACCCCAGGGCGAAUGAUGUCACUGAGAAAUCUGGUGGUAGCUGAUAAGGAUUGAAAGGGAGGUAAAAAAAAAAAAACAAAUUUAGUAUAAGUGAUAAAGCAAAUGAACCGGGAUUCAGCCAGCCAAAAAAUGAAAUCCCAGUGUCAAUGGAGACCAUCUGGAUGUCUGGACUUUCCCCCUGUCUGGAGGUAACAAGGCUCUUUUUCCUUCCCAGUGAGUUGCUGCCAGACACAGCUAGUGAGGCGGGAGCAAUAUAUCCCUGCUCAGAAAUGACAACACCAUCCCACAGCACAGCACCACUGGGGACUUGUGAAGCUAUAAUGAGGCACCUCUGCCCCUCAGUUGAGGGUGUUUCUAGUGGAAGUGCAGUGGGCAGUUUGAACUCCACCCAAAUCUAUCAGUGAUGAGCUUGCAUUGAGAAAGCUGGACUUCCUCCUCCAUUGGGUGAAAAUGGAAUGUGCCUCUCACCUCCCAAAGGAGUGUUACCAAUGCGACCAAUGAAAAGAGAGGAAGUUGGUGCCUGCAUCUUCAUGAUGGAGUGUUAACCCUCUGUUUUCUUCUAGAAGUUGCAAGGUUUCUAUUCUAAUUCCCAAGUUUUUGGUUCGUUUAGACUUGACUUUUGUGCAGGGUUAGACAGGGGUCUAGUUUCAUUCUUCUACAUAUGCACAUCCAGUUUUCCCAGCACCAUUUAUUCACGUGGACACAGAGGAAUGGGCAUGAGGGCUCACUGAAAGUGGAGUCCUCAGAACAUGAGGUCCAGAGACAGCCCAGCCUCUGGAAGCACAGGCUGUACCUAUAGCUUCAGGUGGGCACUGUACAGUGAGCCUGGAAGGAUGGAGAGAGCAAACCUGUCACUGAGGGGCUUUCAUGGCUCCUUAUCCUGAAGAGCAAAUCAUGUAUGAAUUUUUGCAGAAAACCCUUAUGUGUAUGGUCAAUAUUAUUAUGUGCUGAGGCAUCACCAAGAAUAAUGGGCAUGUGAGAACAGAAAAGAAUGGAGUCAGACUCCCUACAUCACUUCAUAUACAUACACACACACACACACACACACCCUCAAAAUAUAUCACAGAACUCAAUACAAAAUUAAAAUUACAGACUCCUAAAAAACAGGAAUACGUUAUUUUGGCCUUACAUUUAGAAGUAGUUACUAAUUUAAGGCACUAGCUAUGCAAUGAAAGAAGUAAUAAGUAAAUUAAUCUUUAUUGAAAAUUAUAGCUUUUGAGUAUCAAAGAAUGCACUAAAAAUGAAUUGACAACUCACAGAAUGGAAGAAAAUAUUUGCAAAUCAUAGAUUAUAACUCAGAACUGAUUGUUACCCCAAAUAUAGAAAGAACUGUUACAACUAAACAACAAAGAAAAUCCAAUAAAAAAGUAUCCAAAGAUUUGAAUAUGCACUUCUCUAAAGAUCAUUAUGUUUGAUAAGUAAUCAUUUAUCAUUUAUCAUUAAGGAAUUGCAAAUCAAAGUCAUAACAAGAGAACACUUUAUGAGUAGAAGGAUGGCUACAAUCAAUGACAUGGACAAUAGCAUAUCUUCUCAGGGACAAGGAUACACUGUGACCUGGUGAAGAAAUGUAAAAGAUGAGCCUGCUUUCUAGCACAGUCUGGAAACUCCUUCCAUGUUAAACACAGACUUACUAAAUGACCCAGCAAUACCACUCCUAGGUGUACAUCCAAGAGAAACAAAGUUAUAUGAGUGUUCACAGCAGCAUUAUUCAAAUAGUCAAAAAGUACAAGUGACUAAGUCAACAAACAAAAUAGUUUAAUAAAUAAGGCAUAUCCAUCUAAUGGAAUGUUGUUCUGCAAUAGAAAGGAAUGGAGUACUGAUGACAUGCUAUGACAUGAAUGAACCUUGAAAAUAUUAUGCCAACUCAAAGAAGCCAGUCACAAAAAGACAGGGUCUCACUAAGUUGCUUAAGGCACUGAUUUUAUCCUUGAUGAAGGAAGGGUCACUUGGCACUUUGUCCCCCCAUACAGACAGCCACACACCUCUCCAGGCACAGUUAGAAACAUGCUUACUGAAAAGUUCCUGGGAGAAGCCAGGUUUCACAGCAUGCUUUGCAUGGUCCUCUCCCAAGUUCCUUGAUGCCACAAUUCCUUUCAACACCUGUUUCUCUACUAGGUCCUCCAGACGGAAGGCAGCAUCUUUUGGAAUAUUCCUUGUCAUGCUAUGCCAUUACCCUGCCCAGACUUUUCCAUUCCUGCCUUCCUCUGGACCUCACCAGAGAGCCACUUUCAAGGUUGCUCAGGGCAGAGCACACUACUCUCAGGGAGCAUGCCCUGCAGCCUCAGAAGGUGCUCUCCUUAGAGGCAUGGGAUAAUGGAAGAAAGGGGACUCAGGAAAAAGUGCAUCAUGUAAUUUAUAUCAGGGAAUUUUUCUAUGGAUACAUAAAAUAUAUUCAUAUCUUGAAUAGAGGUUUACAUGUUCCAAAGGAAUUGUCAUUUCUUAUUUCCAGGAAUCUGUCACUUUAAAACUCUAACAAUAGGAGGCCAUGUUUGUCAUAUUUUUGACCUUCAUAAAGUUGUAUGUUGAAAAAAAAAGUUGCAUGUUGUCCUCUGACCCAAUAUUAAUAGAGCUAAUGCCAUAAUGACUCAUUCAACCAAAAUUUCAGGCAAGGAUUUAUGAACAGCAUGCCAUCACCAACCAAGCCCUCCCAAAUGAAUCCUCAAAUGGACACCUCACCAGGCUGGAUAUCCCGGGAUGUGGAACCAUCUAAAACACCUAUUGAAAUUAGGCCACGUGCCAUCCUUACU